Lupinus angustifolius (narrow-leaved blue lupine) is the source of this 100-nucleotide non-coding RNA. The record is from Rfam. Lineage: Eukaryota; Viridiplantae; Streptophyta; Magnoliopsida; Fabales; Fabaceae.
CAACUCUUCGCCACCUGGGGCUAUAUUAUGUUCCAAGGGUUGGGCAUCUCGCUGAUUAAAGUGAUAUGUGAGCUGGGUUCAGAACGUCGUGAGACAGUUU